UUCAUACUCCCUCCGUCCGAAAAAGCUUGUCCCAAGCUUGUCCCAUAAAUGAAUGUAUCUAGCAUUAACUUGGUGCUAGAUACAACCAUUUGGGGACAAGCUUUUUCGGACGGAGGGAGUAUAUA
Non-coding RNA from Triticum aestivum (bread wheat), 125 nucleotides. The record is from Rfam. NCBI's taxonomy places the organism in Eukaryota, Viridiplantae, Streptophyta, Magnoliopsida, Poales, Poaceae.